Molecule: ribosomal RNA, 462 nt
Filed under: uncultured bacterium
Lineage: Bacteria
Description: partial 16S ribosomal RNA
Rfam family: Bacterial small subunit ribosomal RNA
Source: RNAcentral
GAUAAACGCUGGCGGCGUGCUUAACACAUGCAAGUCGAACGAAGUUUUUCUUUCGGGAGGAACUUAGUGGCGGACGGGUGAGUAACGCGUGGGUAACCUGCCCUGUACAGGGGGACAACAGCUGGAAACGGCUGCUAAUACCGCAUAAGCCCUUAGCACUGCAUGGUGCAUAGGGAAAAGGAGCAAUCCGGUACAGGAUGGACCCGCGUCUGAUUAGCCAGUUGGCAGGGUAACGGCCUACCAAAGCGACGAUCAGUAGCCGAUCUGAGAGGAUGUACGGCCACAUUGGGACUGAGACACGGCCCAGACUCCUACGGGAGGCAGCAGUAGGGAAUAUUGCACAAUGGAGGAAACUCUGAUGCAGCGACGCCGCGUGAGUGAAGAAGUAUUUCGGUAUGUAAAGCUCUAUCAGCAGGAAAGAAAAUGACGGUACCUGACUAAGAAGCACCGGCUAAAUACGUG